Molecule: ribosomal RNA, 113 nt
Filed under: Vibrio neonatus
Lineage: Bacteria; Pseudomonadati; Pseudomonadota; Gammaproteobacteria; Vibrionales; Vibrionaceae
Also listed under: 1 other name
Source: RNAcentral
GGCGACCAUAGCAUUGUGGACCCACCUGAUUCCAUGCCGAACUCAGAAGUGAAACACAAUAGCGCCGAUGGUAGUGUGGGGCUUCCCCAUGUGAGAGUAGGACAUCGCCAGGC